Molecule: ribosomal RNA, 253 nt
Filed under: uncultured bacterium
Lineage: Bacteria
Description: partial 16S ribosomal RNA
Rfam family: Bacterial small subunit ribosomal RNA
Source: RNAcentral
UACGUAGGGUGCGAGCGUUAAUCGGAAUUACUGGGCGUAAAGCGUGCGCAGGCGGUUUUGUAAGUCAGAUGUGAAAUCCCCGGGCUUAACCUGGGAACUGCGUUUGAAACUACAAGGCUAGAGUGUGGCAGAGGGGGGUGGAAUUCCACGUGUAGCAGUGAAAUGCGUAGAGAUGUGGAGGAACACCGAUGGCGAAGGCAGCCCCCUGGGUUAACACUGACGCUCAUGCACGAAAGCGUGGGGAGCAAACAGG